RNAcentral lists this long non-coding RNA (306 nucleotides) under Equus caballus (horse). Its description in RNAcentral is "lncRNA (ENSECAG00000053650.1)". The record is from RNAcentral. Lineage: Eukaryota; Metazoa; Chordata; Mammalia; Perissodactyla; Equidae.
CUGUUCAUGUGCUUGUUGCUGCUGGCUCUUUAUUCAUUCCCACUCAUAGUGCCCUGCUGCUGUGUGUGUUCUGUCAUUUUUGAGUGUCAGGGGCAGCGCCACUCUCAGGGGCAAAAGGUCCAUCCAGUUCUCCUCCUGAAGACACAGUUCCUUUCUCAGGAGACGCGAAGGAGGGCAGCAUCUCCUUUUCCUCGGCUGUGGGGAGAAUGCAUUGAGGCAAAUGGCAACAGCGCUAGAACAGAGCCUGCCACUCGGUAAACGUCCCGUAAAUGCCAGCCAGUGCUGUCAGAGCUGCGUAAUCUGGAG